Non-coding RNA from Labeo rohita (rohu), 281 nucleotides. RefSeq annotates it as small Cajal body-specific RNA 6. The transcript has a single exon. The record is from RefSeq and is a predicted model, not a curated record. NCBI's taxonomy places the organism in Eukaryota, Metazoa, Chordata, Actinopteri, Cypriniformes, Cyprinidae.
GGUCAAUGAUGUAAAGUAAAAGGUCUGAUAUCCAGGUCUCCUCCCAGUCCUUUCGCCCCUCCCAGCAGCCCCUGUUAAUUUUUCCCCAGCAUGCUCUAGUUGUGCAUUGCUGGUUCAAGGCGGCUGCUGAUACCGUGGACGUUUUUGCAAAAUAAGAGUCUUUUAGAGAACCAAGUGAGACCUCUAGAGCAGCGUCCAACAGAAUUACAACACAAAGGAGGGCCGGACAGGUGGAAGAACAUAAAAACUGGUGUAUGAUCUCAAGUUUUCAAGCUGAGACC